UAGGGAGUUUUCGGCAAUGGGGGAAACCCUGACCGAGCAACGCCGCGUGAGUGAUGAAGGUCUUCGGAUUGUAAAGCUCUGUUACAGGGGACGAAUGAUCGCUAUAGGAAAUGAUAGCGGUUCGACGGUACCCUGCCAGAAAGUGACGGCUAACUACGUGCCAGCAGCCGCGGUAAUACGUAGGUCACGAGCGUUAUCCGGAAUUAUUGGGCGUAAAGAGUGAGCAGGCGGUGAAGUAAGUCUGGAGUGAAAGCGUGGGGCUUAACCCCAUACAGCUUUGGAAACUACUUCGCUAGAGUAUGUCAGAGGUUCACGGAACUCCAUGUGUAGCGGUGAAAUGCGUAGAUAUAUGGAAGAACACCGGUGGCAAAGGCGGUGAACCAGGACAAUACUGACGCUC
RNAcentral lists this ribosomal RNA (400 nucleotides) under uncultured bacterium. RNAcentral describes it as "bacterial SSU rRNA". It matches the Rfam family "Bacterial small subunit ribosomal RNA", at positions 355 to 748 of the family's 1533-position model. The record is from RNAcentral.